RNAcentral lists this small RNA (124 nucleotides) under Marmota monax (woodchuck). Lineage: Eukaryota; Metazoa; Chordata; Mammalia; Rodentia; Sciuridae. The record is from RNAcentral.
GCUGGGUGUGGUGUUGCACACCUGUAAACCCAGCUCAGGAGGCUGAGGCAGGAGGAUCACAAGUUAAAAGCCAGCCUCAACCACUUAGUGAGGUCUUAAGCAAUUUGGCAAGAACCUGUCUCAA